Molecule: long non-coding RNA, 763 nt
Filed under: Lathyrus oleraceus (garden pea)
Lineage: Eukaryota; Viridiplantae; Streptophyta; Magnoliopsida; Fabales; Fabaceae
Description: Pisum sativum (pea) long non-coding RNA (PSAT_LNC037871)
Source: RNAcentral
UUUGUUUAUGAUAAUUCAAGCACAUCAAUGAACAAAUAAUUUGAUAAAUUUAAUUUAUUUAUUUAUUACAUUUUUUUAAUAGGCAUGGAAUAACCAAUUAUAAUAAUUAUUAAAAUUUACUGCUUAACCACAGCUAUUUAGCCUAGGUUAAGAGACUGUAACGUUUUUUUUGGUAGUGUAAACUGAAAUUAAGAAAUAAAAGAGCAAUAUAAACAAUAUUAAUUGCUGCUUCAUUUGAUCUCAUCGUCAUCACUUCUUAAUAAAAUUCAAUAAUUGGAUGUCUGCAAACUAGCUCACAAAAUAUUUAAUCAUAAGCAAUAUUUCUUAAAUCUUUUGCUUGUGAAUCUCUCGUUCUUCCUUGAAAAGUGUUUUAACCAUAUAAAAUAACACAUUCACAUUGAUGGCGAAUACACCAAGGAAUCCGAGGAACAACACACAUUUUUUUUGAACAAUCGAAAUCAUUGAUACAUUCAACAAGUGCUAUAAUAAAUAAAGAUAAUAUAAUAGUAUUAGUUAAAGGAGGAAAAAAAGUGUGUACUAAGUAAAUAAGAAAAUAUUAUAUAGAAAAAUGGUUUACCAUGAAUAUUCGUCACAACAAGAAACAUUGAUAGAAAGAGAAUUAUAACAACAACAAACUCCAUUGCUUUAACCAUAUCUUCCUCUUUACAAAUACAAAAAUGAUUUCAUCACUUUAUAAAGUAUAAACAUAAAGCUAUCUUAAAUAAGUUAAAUCGAUUUUAAAACUUAUGAAAGGGUAAAAAGA